RNAcentral lists this ribosomal RNA (468 nucleotides) under uncultured bacterium. RNAcentral's name for it is "partial 16S ribosomal RNA". It matches the Rfam family "Bacterial small subunit ribosomal RNA", at positions 28 to 507 of the family's 1533-position model. The record is from RNAcentral.
GACGAACGCUGGCGGCGUGCUUAACACAUGCAAGUCGAACGGAAAGGCCCUGCUUUUGUGGGGUGCUCGAGUGGCGAACGGGUGAGUAACACGUGAGUAACCUGCCCUUGACUUUGGGAUAACUUCAGGAAACUGGGGCUAAUACCGGAUAGGAGCUCCUGCUGCAUGGUGGGGGUUGGAAAGUUUCGGCGGUUGGGGAUGGACUCGCGGCUUAUCAGCUUGUUGGUGGGGUAGUGGCUUACCAAGGCUUUGACGGGUAGCCGGCCUGAGAGGGUGACCGGCCACAUUGGGACUGAGAUACGGCCCAGACUCCUACGGGAGGCAGCAGUGGGGAAUAUUGCACAAUGGGCGGAAGCCUGAUGCAGCAACGCCGCGUGCGGGAUGACGGCCUUCGGGUUGUAAACCGCUUUCGCCUGCGACGAAGCGUGAGUGACAGUAAUGGGUAAAGAAGCACCGGCUAACUACGUG